RNAcentral lists this ribosomal RNA (494 nucleotides) under uncultured bacterium. RNAcentral's name for it is "partial 16S ribosomal RNA". It matches the Rfam family "Bacterial small subunit ribosomal RNA", at positions 28 to 507 of the family's 1533-position model. The record is from RNAcentral.
GACGAACGCUGGCGGCGUGCUUAACACAUGCAAGUCGAACGGUGAAGCGCCUUCCUUUUUGGUGGGUGUGGAUGAGUGGCGAACGGGUGAGUAACACGUGAGUAACCUGCCCCCUUCUUCUGGAUAACCGCAUGAAAGUGUGGCUAAUACGGGAUAUUCUGGGUCUGUCGCAUGAUGGGUCUGGGAAAGAUAUUGUUUCGGUGGGGGAUGGGCUCGCGGCCUAUCAGCUUGUUGGUGGGGUGAUGGCCUACCAAGGCGGCGACGGGUAGCCGGCCUGAGAGGGUGGACGGUCACACUGGGACUGAGACACGGCCCAGACUCCUACGGGAGGCAGCAGUGGGGAAUAUUGCACAAUGGGCGCAAGCCUGAUGCAGCGACGCCGCGUGAGGGAUGGAGGCCUUCGGGUUGUGAACCUCUUUCGCCAGUGAAGCAGGCCUGCCUCGUUUGUGGGUGGGUUGACAGUAGCUGGAUAAGAAGCGCCGGCUAACUACGUG